This 23-nucleotide non-coding RNA is filed under the name Arabidopsis thaliana (thale cress). The record is from RNAcentral. Lineage: Eukaryota; Viridiplantae; Streptophyta; Magnoliopsida; Brassicales; Brassicaceae.
CUAAUGGCAUACCUAUGUAAUUA